CUGACACAAAGAAGCAGGUGUGAGACCGGCCCCUUUCUCCCAUGCCUUAGACAGGGCUCCAGGGACUGCUUCAGGGGAGAUGUCAGAGGGCAGCAGGGACCGGGAAGGGAGGAAGAAAGCAGAGUGACAGUGAGAGGUGGGAAAACUACAAGAGGAAUUGUUUGUACGCUUGGAUCUGGACUUUUAGAACUGGUCAGGACCUGACAGAUCCUCCAGCCCAGUUCUCCCGGCUCUCAAACACUGGCAUCAUUUAUAAUUCCCUGGAAAAUCACCAGCAGGUAAAUGAAGGAGAAAAGAAAAGAACAAAAUCCACCGGGAACCAGAGACUUCCAGGCUCCAAAGACAGGCAAUCUCCACCAGGAAACACAGGAGAAGCCCUGAAAAGUUAGUCUUCUGGAAGAGAAAUUUACAUCUACAAAGGAAAUCUCCAUUUGUAAGUGUGUCUUCUUCUGCACUAGGAAGAGAAGGAUGACUAAAUCAGAGAAGUCUCUUGUCAGAGAAAGCACGGACUUCAGUC
This 517-nucleotide long non-coding RNA is filed under the name Homo sapiens (human). Its description in RNAcentral is "long intergenic non-protein coding RNA 1517". The record is from RNAcentral. Lineage: Eukaryota; Metazoa; Chordata; Mammalia; Primates; Hominidae.